Molecule: ribosomal RNA, 497 nt
Filed under: uncultured bacterium
Lineage: Bacteria
Description: partial 16S ribosomal RNA
Rfam family: Bacterial small subunit ribosomal RNA
Source: RNAcentral
GACGAACGCUGGCGGCGUGCCUAAUACAUGCAAGUUGAGCGCUGAAGGUUGGUACUUGUACCAACUGGAUGAGCAGCGAACGGGUGAGUAACGCGUGGGGAAUCUGCCUUUGAGCGGGGGACAACAUUUGGAAACGAAUGCUAAUACCGCAUAAAAACUUUAAACACAAGUUUUAAGUUUGAAAGAUGCAAUUGCAUCACUCAAAGAUGAUCCCGCGUUGUAUUAGCUAGUUGGUGAGGUAAAGGCUCACCAAGGCGAUGAUACAUAGCCGACCUGAGAGGGUGAUCGGCAACAUUGGGCCGGGGACACGGCCAAAACUCCUACGGGAGGCAGCAGUAGGGAAUUUUCGGCAAUGGAAGAAAGUCUGACCGAGCAACGCCGCGUGAGUGAAGAAGGUUUUCGGAUCGUAAAACUCUGUUGGUAGAGAAGAACGUUGGUGAGAGUGGAAAGCUCAUCAAGUGACGGUAACUACCCAGAAAGGGACGGCUAACUACGUG